ACUCUGACAGCCAUGCCGCGUGCAGGAAGACUGCCCUAUGGGUUGUAAACUGCUUUUAUCCGGGAAUAAACCUACUUACGUGUAAGUAGCUGAAUGUACCGGAAGAAUAAGGAUCGGCUAACUCCGUGCCAGCAGCCGCGGUAAUACGGAGGAUCCAAGCGUUAUCCGGAUUUAUUGGGUUUAAAGGGUGCGUAGGCGGCCUGUUAAGUCAGGGGUGAAAGACGGUAGCUCAACUAUCGCAGUGCCCUUGAUACUGAUGGGCUUGAAUGGACUAGAGGUAGGCGGAAUGAGACAAGUAGCGGUGAAAUGCAUAGAUAUGUCUCAGAACACCGAUUGCGAAGGCAGCUUACUAUGGUCUUAUUGACGCUGAGGCACGAAAGCGUGGGGAUCAAACAGGAUUAGAUACCCUGGUAGUCCACGCCCUAAACGAUGAACACUCGCUGUUGGCGAUACACAGUCAGCGGCUAAGCGAAAGCGUUAAGUGUUCCACCUGGGGAGUACGCCCGCAAGGGUGAAACUCAAAGGAAUUGACGGGGGCCCGCACAAGCGGAGGAGCAUGUGGUUUAAUUCGAUGAUACGCGAGGAACCUUACCCGGGCUUGAAAGUUAGUGAAUGAUUUAGAGAUAGAUCAGUGAGC
RNAcentral lists this ribosomal RNA (637 nucleotides) under uncultured bacterium. RNAcentral's name for it is "bacterial SSU rRNA". It matches the Rfam family "Bacterial small subunit ribosomal RNA", at positions 380 to 1019 of the family's 1533-position model. The record is from RNAcentral.